AAAAAAAAAAAGAACAACCCAAAUGAAUUGUGGAGAAGAAUUGGGGUUAGGGGAGAAUACGUGUUUUCGACGAUUUUAGGGUAGAAGACGUUGGAAAGAAUACUUCUAGCGUGAAUUUUUUUUUUAAUAAUAAAUUUAUGUUUUGAUCAUUUAAUUUACCUAUUACAUUUCAAUAAAAACAUAAAAUAAUAGAGAUGUGUAUUAAGAGAUUAGGGGUAUGUAUUUAAAAUUUCUCUUAAAGUUUUGUUUAAAAGAAUUAUUUAGCGAUAGUUUAUCAACAUCUUAUUAAAGUUGUCAAAGGUCAUUCGACUUAUCUAGUAAGACUUCAAUUAUCGGUAACUCAAUAACUUUGAAGCUUACUCCUCGAUCAUUCUUGAUUACAUCAGCUUUUAUUUUUGAGUUGUAAUUUCAAAUUUCAAAAUGUUACAUCGUCCACACUCCACACCAUCAACUUAUAAAAUUCGGGAUGGUAUACUUGAUUUUUCUUUUUUUUAACCGGGCAUGAUUUUUAAUGACCACAUUUAGCCCUUUGAGUGUCAUAUCUAUGAGAAAUCAAAAUUCUUUCUUUAUUUUCUUUUCCCUUACAUUGUUCCUACAAGAGAAAUUUUAAAAACACACCAUUAAUAUUUUAAUACACAUCUCUUAUUUAAUAUACCACCUAUCAAGUUUUUCAUUUCAGUAUUAUACUUAAUACACAUCCCAAACUGCCUAAAAUGCCCUUAAUUUAUGAAAUAUUCUGUUUUUUAAUAUAGGGAAAAUGCCCUAAUGCACAAAAACAGGGAUUUUAAUGCCCACUUCAAUGUAAAUUUUUUCUGUUAGCCCAUUUCAAUGAUUCUUAUGCAAAAGACAUUAUUACCCUCUAUAGAAUUAAACUCACACAAAUCUUAUCUCUUUCUUUUUCUCUUCUCUCUCUCUCUUCUUCUCCUCCCGAUCUGCUCUCUCUCUCUCUCUCACAUAUAUCCUUCGUCGGCGACCUCAUCCUCGCCUCCACCAUCUCCGGCGACCUCUUCCGUGGAGGGACGAUCUUAACGGUGAGAGCACAUGAUUGGCCCAGUAGAUAUGGGAGACGAGGAGAUGGGCGAGCUCGACGGACGGCAAGGACACGGCGGCGGAGUUGAGGCUGGAGCUGAGCUGGAGAGCCCAGAAGAGCGGGUCGCUGUUCUUGUCCUGAGCUGAUUGGUGAGAUGGAGGACCGAGUCCCAUAGGUGACUCGGCGGCUGCUGUGAGGGCACCACCGCCAUUCGGAAUCACAGUAGAGAGAAUUAGGGUUUUAAUUCAUUACAGAGGGAGAAGGAGGAGAGAAUCUGGAGCUGCUUUUGGCUUCUCACUUUGACUGACAAGGCUGUCCCCUGCUUUGGUGCUACCGGCGCCGGUUUAAGGUUUUUUUUUUUUUUUUUUUUUAGGUUCUAUUGGUGUGUUUGGGCUUGCUGGAGGAAUAGAUUCAUGGAGAGUUAGAUCCUUGUGGGGAAGCAUGGCAAAUAAGUGCGUACUUUGUAGUUUUCAUAGAGGUAGUAAUCGAUUACUGGGGGUCAGUAACUGAAAACAAAAUGAUUAUUGGGUGAUUACUGGGUUCAGUAACUGAAAACAAAGUGAUUACUGGGGGUCAGUAACUGGUUGCUAGGUGUCAAUAACUUGUCAGUAACCGAUUACUGGGGGUCAGUAACUGGUUACUGGGUGUCAGUAACUGGUUACUAGGUGUCAAUAACUGGUCAGUAACCGAUUACUGGGGGUCAGUAACUGGUUACUAGGUGUCAAUAACUGGUCAGUAACCGAUUACUGGGGGUCAGUAACUGGUUACUGGGUGUCAGUAACUGGUUACUAGGUGUCAAUAACUGGUCAGUAACCGAUUACUGGGAGUCAGUAACUGAUUACUGGGUGUCAGUAACUGAUUACUGGGGGUUAAUAACCGGUUACUAGGUGUCAGUAACUGAUUACUGGGGGUUAAUAACUGGUUAUUAGGGGUCGUUAACUGGUCAGUAACUGGUUAUUGGGGGUCAGUAACUAGUUACAGGGGAAAUUCCGGUGAUCGGAGUCCGACGGUCGGGAAAAUUCCGGUGACCGGAGUCCGGCGGUCGGGAAAAUUCCGGUGACCGGAGUCCGACGGCCGGCGACCGGAGUCCGGCGGCCGGUGACCGGAGUCCGGCGGCCGGUGACCGGAGUCGGAGUCCGGUGAGAUUCCGACCAAGUUUCUCUUUUUCAUUUUCUCUCUCUAUGUAUGUUUAAAGGAUGAGGGCAAAAUAGUCUUAAAAUAAUAUGGUUUAUUAAGACUUUAGUAAAGAUUUGUGCAUUUGGGCAUAAAAAAGGUUACCUUAUAUUGAAAUGGGCUAAUGAAAAAGAUUGUCAUUGGAAUGGGGAAUGAGGGGUUCAAAUUAGUACUAAAUGAGCAUUUUCCCUUUAAUAUAAUUAAUAUAUAUUUACUAUUUGGUCUCUUUUUACAUAUUAUUUCAUCUAAUUUUUGAUAGAAAUUUUUGGGAGUGCGGCUAUUAGGAUCUCCAAAUUUGCUCACUAGACCUCACUCUAUUUUGAAUUAUUAAAUUACAUAUACAUCCUCAUACACAAUGACUAUUAAGGACAAUAAUUAUACAAAAGGAAAUAUUG
Molecule: long non-coding RNA, 2598 nt
Filed under: Fragaria vesca (wild strawberry)
Lineage: Eukaryota; Viridiplantae; Streptophyta; Magnoliopsida; Rosales; Rosaceae
Description: long non-coding RNA (FVES_LNC000548)
Source: RNAcentral